GCCGCGGUAGCUUGUGGGAAAAGUAGCUGGAAUUCCCAGAAUCCUUGCUGGAGUGCUAGUUGGCUGCGGGGACCUUGCUGCGCGGGCUGCUGUAGGACUGUCGCUCUAAGGAGUGCGCCCCGCAAGGGCUGGUAUGGUGGCAGGGAAACAGAAGAGGGCGCGGUGCGCGCGUCCUGGUGGUCCAGAUCAGGCUAGAAGGCAGGGCAGGGCAGUCCGGAACUGGCGCUUGUCCGAAGCCUCAGGCCUGUGGGUGCAGAGCCUCAAGGAUCUUUUCUGCCUUGUUCUGACACCAGCACAGUCCUAAGCACUGUCGGCUCCGGCACUGAGAUUUCACACCUUGGGCAGCCCUCGGCCUUGCCCAGCAGAACAUCACCCCUCCAGGACCUCCACUAAAGGCUCCUCAGGUUGGCAGGCGGCUGAGUCCCAGCGGAAAGCACGCGACCGCUAAGCCCUCUGGGAAGUGUAGUCCAGCUCUCCAAGAAUAACGGGACCACCAGAGCUGGGUCGUCAGUCCCUCUUUGCCACAAGACUGACCCCGAGCAAAGAACUCCGACCCACCCUGAAGUGAAAUGCUUCAUAGGUUUCAGCAAGUUGCCUAUUGAAGCUCAGAAGAACACAUUCCAUGAACUGUGAAGUUGCGGCAGCAGAGCCCUCUGGAAAAUGUAGUCCAGGCUGCGUCCCAAAACAGUGGAACUGAGACGCUUUCUGCCACAUCUAUUGCGGGAAUGAAGACCAUUCUCAGAAUCACACUGUCGCCAUUCCAGAAAUGUCAACAUCACUCUGAAAGGAUGCACUGUUAUUGUGAAGGGCCCCAGGGGAACCCUGUGAAGUGACUUCAAUCACAUUAAUGUAGGACUCAGUCUUCUUGGAAAGAAAAAGGAGAGGCUUGGAGUUGGCAAGUGGUGGGGAUAUAGAAAAGAACUGGCUAUUGUUCCCACUGCCUGUGUUCAGAACAUGAUCAAGGCAUUACACUGGGCUUCCCUUACAAGAUGGGGUCUGUGUAUGCUCACUUCCCCCAUCAGCGUUCAGGAGAAUGGUUCUUGUUGAAAUUUCCUGGGUGAAAAAUAAAUCCACAGGGUUGGGAUGAGGCCA
RNAcentral lists this long non-coding RNA (1092 nucleotides) under Ursus maritimus (polar bear). RNAcentral describes it as "lncRNA (ENSUMAG00000018193.1)". Lineage: Eukaryota; Metazoa; Chordata; Mammalia; Carnivora; Ursidae. The record is from RNAcentral.